CGAAUCAGAGAAGGGGGUGCCAAGGCGGCCUUCACAUUCCUUCUGUAAGUGGACUGGCAGCCACAAUGCCCACUCAGAACCUUCCAGAGCCUUCCAGGAGCCCAGCAGCUUCCCAUCAUCGAUGGUGCCUUCCCCAAGUUUUCUUUGACAAAGAGAGGCUUCUAAUAAGCCUGCACUUGAGUCGGUUGGCUUUUCUAACAAGUGCUCACUCUCACCAAAAACCAGCAAGCCCGGCUCCUCAGUUAACUCCACCCCCAUUCCUCCCACGCUUACCUUGAAUGUGCGCAUGCGCUGAGCAAACCCUGUUCCUGGUGGGGUGCUCCAGUUCUACAACCAGUGAAGAGAGGCCUUUCAACUGACGUGCUUGGAGUCUGGAGCAGGAGACGACAGCAGCAGUGAUGACAAAGCACUUCACUGGAGGACUGUGAAAACAGGGAUCUGGGCUGGGGCGGGGUCCUGGGAAGACCUCCCAAAAGGGGUGAGGCUUGAGUCCCCCGUGAAGGAGGAUCACUUCGCUGAGAAGAGAAAGGAAAUCCUAGACAAAACCAGCUGGGUCCCCAAGGCAUGAACUGUAUGAAGGGGGGCCUUUAAUUGUCUUUAAAUUAAUAAAUUGUGGCUGCAAAAAUACAUAAGUAAAAUUUCUUAAGAAUUGAGGACUGAAUGAAGUGUCUGAGGGUAUGUGCUUGGUAACAAAGCUGAGUUUAGUGACUUUUAGUAUUUUUAUGUGUAAGUAUAAAAAAUAGUCAAAGUAGGUUUAGAAUUGGGAUGGACAAAACAAGACCAGUUCUGGGAGCCCUAAAAACUAUGAGUAUUUAUGGAUCACUUAUUCUGUGCCUAGGGGCUCUGCCAAGCUCCUGACAUGUGUGCGCCAGCUCAUUUGAUCCUCACGAAAGCCUUGAGAGCCACUCUUGUUAUCCUCAUUUUUCAAAUUAGAACAGAAGCCUGUGCAGGUUUGCAACCAGGUAGAUCUGACUCCACAGCCCCAGCUGAUGAGGCUCACACAAAGUUUCUUGGUAAGUUGUUGAGUGGAGCUGGAGUGGUUAUGGGGAGCAGAGGGGGAGGAGGCUGGCUCCCAGGAGGUCAUGGUCAAGAAAUAGA
This 1098-nucleotide long non-coding RNA is filed under the name Equus asinus (donkey). RNAcentral describes it as "lncRNA (ENSEASG00005037381.1)". Lineage: Eukaryota; Metazoa; Chordata; Mammalia; Perissodactyla; Equidae. The record is from RNAcentral.